Molecule: non-coding RNA, 68 nt
Organism: Gordonia terrae NBRC 100016
Lineage: Bacteria; Bacillati; Actinomycetota; Actinomycetes; Mycobacteriales; Gordoniaceae
Source: Rfam
AGUUCGACCGGGUCGACGCCGCGGGUCACCACCAGGUAGUCCCGCAUGACGAUCGAGUGGCGGUUCUC